GGCUUUAUAUUCAUUUAAUGAUAAUAGAAUGCAAUUCUGUAGGGGUAGUAGAACUACUAAGGCUU
This 65-nucleotide transfer RNA is filed under the name Episymploce cheni. RNAcentral's name for it is "tRNA-Cys". Lineage: Eukaryota; Metazoa; Arthropoda; Insecta; Blattodea; Blattellidae. The record is from RNAcentral.